Molecule: long non-coding RNA, 553 nt
Filed under: Musa acuminata (dwarf banana)
Lineage: Eukaryota; Viridiplantae; Streptophyta; Magnoliopsida; Zingiberales; Musaceae
Description: long non-coding RNA (MACU_LNC010745)
Source: RNAcentral
GAGGGUCCGCACGUGCGGGAGGUCCCCCCGGAGUCAGCCACCGACGGCCUCGGCAGGCGAACCCUUGCGAUCGGACGGACGAGAUCGGCGGAUCGGAGGGAUGUGUCGGCGGAAGACGAGACACAGCCGACGAGUUGCGCAACGUGGCCUCGCAUCGCGCUCUCCGGUCACCGUAAAACGACAAAGCACAGAGGAGAGAGGUGAGUACGUGCUCAUUCCAUGUGCAUUUGGAUCGACUUUACCCAAUUAACAAUUGCAACAAUAAUAGCAUGUGUUUUAGAUUAGGGUUAGUCAAAAGCAUCCAACGAAAUCAAUUAAUAAAUCAAACAUAAUGAUUAACAAGUUAGAUUACAUUGGUUUAGUCUUGAUUUUGACAUUUGUGAUCAACAAGAACAUGGAUCUUAAUUAGUAAUUAUGUUAUGACAUAGGGAACCAGAUAGUUGGAAAAUGCUUAUAUAUAUGCUACAAAUUUGAUGUGCUUGAUCUCCAAUUGUUGGAAGGAAUCAUGUGAUGUGGUGUCAGGCAAAGUCUUCACUUCCUGGAGGGGUUGAUG